This 882-nucleotide ribosomal RNA is filed under the name uncultured archaeon. RNAcentral's name for it is "bacterial SSU rRNA". It matches the Rfam family "Archaeal small subunit ribosomal RNA", at positions 114 to 997 of the family's 1478-position model. The record is from RNAcentral.
CUUGAGAUGGGAAUAAACCCGGGAAACUGGGUAUAAUACCCGAUAGAUCUCGACUGCUGGAAUGCAUCGAGAUCCAAAGCUCCGGCGCUCAAGGAUGGAUCUGCGGCCUAUCAGGUAGUAGUGGGUGUAGCGUACCUACUAGCCUACGACGGGUACGGGUUGUGAGAGCAAGAGCCCGGAGAUGGAUUCUGAGACACGAAUCCAGGCCCUACGGGGUGCAGCAGGCGCGAAAACUUUACAAUGCUGGAAACAGCGAUAAGGGGACCUCGAGUGCCAGGUUACAAAUCUGGCUGUCGUGAUGCCUAAAAAGCAUUGCAUAGCAAGGGCCGGGCAAGACCGGUGCCAGCCGCCGCGGUAACACCGGCGGCUCGAGUGGUAACCGUUAUUAUUGGGUCUAAAGGGUCUGUAGCCGGCCGGAUAAGUCUCUUGGGAAAUCUGGCAGCUUAACUGUCAGGCUUUCAGGAGAUACUGUCUGGCUCGAGGCCGGGAGAGGUGAGAGGUACUUCAGGGGUAGGGGUGAAAUCUUGUAAUCCUUGAAGGACCACCAGUGGCGAAGGCGUCUCACCAGAACGGACCUGACGGCAAGGGACGAAAGCUAGGGGCACGAACCGGAUUAGAUACCCGGGUAGUCCUAGCCGUAAACGAUACUCGCUAGGUGUCGGCAACGGUGCGACCGUUGUCGGUGCCGUAGGGAAGCCGUGAGGCGAGCCACCUGGGAAGUACGGCCGCAAGGCUGAAACUUAAAGGAAUUGGCGGGGGAGCACCACAACGGGUGGAGCUUGCGGUUUAAUUGGAUUCAACGCCGGAAAUCUUACCGGGACCGACAGCAAUAUGAAGGCCAGGCUGAAGACUUUGCCGGAUUAGCUGAGAGGUGGUGCAUGG